Brienomyrus brachyistius is the source of this 861-nucleotide long non-coding RNA. RefSeq lists it as uncharacterized. Lineage: Eukaryota; Metazoa; Chordata; Actinopteri; Osteoglossiformes; Mormyridae. The transcript is spliced from 2 exons. The record is from RefSeq and is a predicted model, not a curated record.
CCUCAUCUCUUUUAAAACUACAUUUUAUACUGUAUUUAGUCCAUGUCUAAGUCCGUAUUCCCCAGAUCCGUCAUUGAUGUUCGUCGCCGUCUGCCCUGUCUUCAGUGACUAAACCCUGGUUUCCUUUAUCCUGCCUACCUGCCUUCUCCUUUCCCCGCUUCCUGCUUGCCCAUCCUCCCCGCCGAUCGCAACAGAAUGACGGACCUCCUGAAAGAAGCACUGCGGCGGGCCAAGGACCAGCGCCUUGAUCUACUGCAGGAGGUGCUUUAUUAGCUAAUUCAACUGGAGGUCCAGGAGGACCCAGCAUCCCGGGAUUUGGCCAGCCGGAGCGGGGACCUCCUAAGUGAGGCAGCCCCGCCCGGAGACGCGUACCCCUUGUGGGAGGAGACAUGGAAUUGAGAAGAACCUGGGCCUUGGCGAGCUCUCCACCUUUGAUGAGAAGCUGGUGGCAGAGGCUUUGGGCUUGAAGUUGACGGCCUCCAUCAUGUAAGGGGAGGAUUUAGUGCUGCUCAAGGGCAGCCCCACAAAAAUGGACCGUGACAACCUGGAGCAAAAGUAAAAAGACAGUGCUUCUCACGCAGGCUUUUUGCAACAUUUUCUCUGUUCUGCUUUUCUAAGAUCUAAAUAUUCCUGGAAUGAUGGGAAAGAGCAGGAUCUGGCUGUGGUAACAUCUACUGUCCUCAAAUCUACUUUUAGUAGUCUUACAACCUACUUUUUUGUGUGUUGUUUUUUGGUGUGUCAAACAAAAAACUGAGAGUAAAGUAAAGGUUAAUAUGUAUUCCGUUGCACUGGAUUUAUUUUGAUCUGUUUCGGAUUUUAAGUUUUUAUAAGCUGCCAAACUAAAAAAAAGUUUUCAGAGUA